Molecule: ribosomal RNA, 393 nt
Filed under: uncultured bacterium
Lineage: Bacteria
Description: partial 16S ribosomal RNA
Rfam family: Bacterial small subunit ribosomal RNA
Source: RNAcentral
ACACGGAGGAUCCGAGCGUUAUCCGGAUUUAUUGGGUUUAAAGGGAGCGUAGAUGGAUGUUUAAGUCAGUUGUGAAAGUUUGCGGCUCAACCGUAAAAUUGCAGUUGAUACUGGAUAUCUUGAGUGCAGUUGAGGCAGGCGGAAUUCGUGGUGUAGCGGUGAAAUGCUUUGAUAUCACGAAGAACUCCGAUUGCGAAGGCAGCCUGCUAAGCUGCAACUGACAUUGAGGCUCGAAAGUGUGGGUAUCAAACAGGAUUAGAUACCCUGGUAGUCCACACGGUAAACGAUGAAUACUCGCUGUUUGCGAUAUACUGCAAGCGGCCAAGCGAAAGCGUUAAGUAUUCCACCUGGGGAGUACGCCGGCAACGGUGAAACUCAAAGGAAUUGACGGGG